RNAcentral lists this ribosomal RNA (484 nucleotides) under uncultured bacterium. Its description in RNAcentral is "partial 16S ribosomal RNA". It matches the Rfam family "Bacterial small subunit ribosomal RNA", at positions 30 to 507 of the family's 1533-position model. The record is from RNAcentral.
AUUGAACGCUGGCGGCAGGCCUAACACAUGCAAGUCGAGCGGAUGAAGGGAGCUUGCUCCUGGAUUUAGCGGCGGACGGGUGAGUAAUGCCUAGGAAUCUGCCUGGUAGUGGGGGAUAACGUCCGGAAACGGGCGCUAAUACCGCAUACGUCCUGAGGGAGAAAGUGGGGGAUCUUCGGACCUCACGCUAUCAGAUGAGCCUAGGUCGGAUUAGCUAGUUGGUGGGGUAAAGGCCUACCAAGGCGACGAUCCGUAACUGGUCUGAGAGGAUGAUCAGUCACACUGGAACUGAGACACGGUCCAGACUCCUACGGGAGGCAGCAGUGGGGAAUAUUGGACAAAGGGCGAAAGCCUGAUCCAGCCAUGCCGCGUGUGUGAAGAAGGUCUUCGGAUUGUAAAGCACUUUAAGUUGGGAGGAAGGGCAGUAAGUUAAUACCUUGCUGUUUUGACGUUACCAACAGAAUAAGCACCGGCUAACUUCGUG